Molecule: transfer RNA, 69 nt
Filed under: Allobates sp. Huanuco
Lineage: Eukaryota; Metazoa; Chordata; Amphibia; Anura; Aromobatidae
Description: tRNA-Gly
Rfam family: tRNA
About the family: Transfer RNA (tRNA) molecules are approximately 80 nucleotides in length. Their secondary structure includes four short double-helical elements and three loops (D, anti-codon, and T loops). Further hydrogen bonds mediate the characteristic L-shaped molecular structure. tRNAs have two regions of fundamental functional importance: the anti-codon, which is responsible for specific mRNA codon recognition, and the 3' end, to which the tRNAs corresponding amino acid is attached (by aminoacyl-tRNA synthetases). tRNAs cope with the degeneracy of the genetic code in two manners: having more than one tRNA (with a specific anti-codon) for a particular amino acid; and 'wobble' base-pairing, i.e. permitting non-standard base-pairing at the 3rd anti-codon position.
Source: RNAcentral
AUUUCUUUAGUAUAAACAAUAUCGAUGACUUCCAAUCAUCUUAUCUUGGUUCGACCCCAAGAAGAAAUA